GAUACUAGGGAUACAACAGCAAACAAGAUGAUUCCUACCUUGCAGGAGCUCAGAAUCUAACAAGGGAGAAGACAAGCCAACCGCCAUCAUGGUACUGUAUGCCAUGUUUCAGAAUGGGGCAGUGCAAUAUGAGCAUGUACAGAGGGGAUCCUAACCUGGUCGUGGGUAGUCAAGGAAAGCUACCUCAAGAAAAUGCUUACUAAUGCUGUGACCUAAAGGAGGAGAAAAAGUUGGCUCACUGGAGAAAAGGUGAAGAACGUGUCCCAGGCAGAGGAGGAGGGCAUGUGGAAAGGUCUGGAAAAAGAAGAGAGGGCUGGUACCUGCAACACCCUGAGGGUGAUUCAGUGCAGCCGAAGGGCUUCAAGGCUCACCCCACACAUCCAGGACAGGUUUGCAGCAAUUACAGGAUAAUAUCUUACAGAUGAAGGAAACUUUUGCCAAGCCAGCAAUAUUCUACUAACAUGCUUAUUUCACCAAAUUCUUCACUCCCGACGUUAAGUUAAAAAUCCACAGGUAAGUAAUCAGCAUCUCAGAUCACCCCAAGACAGGUCUAUUUAUACUAACUUUCCUAAAAAUAUUUA
RNAcentral lists this long non-coding RNA (581 nucleotides) under Pan troglodytes (chimpanzee). Its description in RNAcentral is "long non-coding RNA NONPTRT002182". The record is from RNAcentral. Lineage: Eukaryota; Metazoa; Chordata; Mammalia; Primates; Hominidae.